AGAUCAGCUGUGGGUAUGAGAAUCUGAAUCCACACUGUAAAGUUAGACUUUGUCAUAUGACUUCCUUGCGGCAGUUUUAAAGUUCUCUGUAUGAAUAUUGUCAGUGCUCGAAGAGGCGAUCUGUAACUGUUUAGUACCACUUGGAAUGCCUAUUUCCCCUUCAGCCUCCAAUUCCAACUUCUCCCCUGUGGGCACCCUGCAGGUUGCAAAGCAGCUGAAGGAGCAGCAGAUGGUGAUGAGAGGCCACCGAGAGACCUCCAUGGUCCAUGAACUCAACCGGUACAUCCCCACAGCCGCGGCCUUUGGUGGGCUGUGCAUCGGGGCCCUCUCGGUCCUGGCUGACUUCCUGGGCGCCAUUGGGUCUGGAACUGGGAUCCUGCUCGCAGUCACAAUCAUCUACCAGUACUUUGAGAUCUUCGUUAAGGAGCAAAGCGAGGUUGGCAGCAUGGGGGCCCUGCUCUUCUGAGCCCAUCUCCCGGACAGGUUGAGGAAGCUGCUCCAGAAGCGCCUCGGAAGGGGAGCUCUCAUCAUGGCGCAUGCUGCUGUGGCAUAUGG
This 555-nucleotide small RNA is filed under the name Pan troglodytes (chimpanzee). RNAcentral's name for it is "processed transcript". Lineage: Eukaryota; Metazoa; Chordata; Mammalia; Primates; Hominidae. The record is from RNAcentral.